This is a long non-coding RNA of Tympanuchus pallidicinctus (lesser prairie-chicken), 879 nucleotides long. RefSeq lists it as uncharacterized. Lineage: Eukaryota; Metazoa; Chordata; Aves; Galliformes; Phasianidae. The transcript has 3 exons. The record is from RefSeq and is a predicted model, not a curated record.
CUGCUCUGCUGUAGUUUUGUAAGUGAGCCCAGGAUAGGGUUUCCAUGGAGAUAAUUAGGCAGCAUUACUUUUGGAGCAGCCUUCAUAUAUGCAGCCCUAGACAAUUCCUUUUCACACAGUGUGGCCCAGGAAAGGGUGACAUGAAGAUUGAGGAACUACAGGCCAAUGAGCCUCACACCUGUGCCUGGGAAGAUGAUGGAGCAGAUCCUCGUAGAAGCUAUGUUAUGGCACAUGAAGAAUGAGGUGAUCUGAGACCUGGCAUGGCUGCACACAGGGCAGAUUGUGCCUGACAAAACUGGCAGUCCACUAUGAUGGAGUUGCAAAAGAAAGGUGACAUCAUCUACCUAGGAUUUGACUGGGCCUUUGACAGGAUCCUGCACCACAUCCUUAUCUCUAAGUUAGGCAGAUAAGAGUUUCAAGGACAAAGAGUUGGUAGGAUGGUCACAGUCAGAGUGUUGUGGUCAGUGACUCUAGGUCUGGGUGGCUGGCCACGACUGGUGUCCCCAAGAGUCCAUCUUGGGACUAGUGCUCUUCAGCACCUUUAUCAGUGACACAGACAGUGAAACUGAGUGACCCUCAGCAAGUUUGUACAUAACAUCAAGCUGAGUGAGGGGGCUUGUUCAGCCAGCAGGAGAAAAAAACUCCAGGAAAACACUGCAGCUUUCCAGUACUUAAAGGGAGCUUAUGAACAGGAGAGGGACUGAGGUUUUUGCAUGGAUAAAUAGUGACAGAACAACGGGGAAUGGCUUUUAAAGUGAAAGAGGAGAGAUUUAGAUCAGAUUUUAGGGGAAAAUUUUUCGCUGAGAAGGUGGUAAGGCACUGGACCGGUUGCCCAGAGAAGCUGAAUGCCCGCUGAAGACACUCAGCUGAGUGGGUGCU